CACAAGAUGUAUGCUCUUGCUCGCUGUCGCCGCAGGGGAAUCCGGUGGGAAUCCGGAACUGUCCCGCAACGGUGUACGAGUGCGCCCGGAUUGCCGUACGGCCGUCUCGCGCGCCCCUGAAGUCCGAGGACCUGCCGACAGUACGCCCGCACC
Molecule: non-coding RNA, 153 nt
Filed under: Streptomyces chattanoogensis
Lineage: Bacteria; Bacillati; Actinomycetota; Actinomycetes; Kitasatosporales; Streptomycetaceae
Source: RNAcentral